This 332-nucleotide ribosomal RNA is filed under the name Puma concolor (puma). RNAcentral's name for it is "partial large subunit ribosomal RNA". It matches the Rfam family "Bacterial large subunit ribosomal RNA", at positions 2012 to 2519 of the family's 2925-position model. Lineage: Eukaryota; Metazoa; Chordata; Mammalia; Carnivora; Felidae. The record is from RNAcentral.
UUUACUGUCUCUUACUUCCAAUCCGUGAAAUUGACCUUCCCGUGAAGAGGCGGGAAUACAACAAUAAGACGAGAAGACCCUAUGGAGCUUUAAUUAACCGACCCAAAGAGACCCAUUAAUUUAACCGACAGGAACAACAAACCUCUGUAUGGGCCGACAAUUUAGGUUGGGGUGACCUCGGAGAACAGAACAACCUCCGAGUGAUUUAAAUCAAGACUAACCAGUCAAAAGUAUUACAUCACUUAUUGAUCCAAAAGUUUGAUCAACGGAACAAGUUACCCUAGGGAUAACAGCGCAAUCCUAUUUCAGAGUCCAUAUCGACAAUAGGGUUU